CCUACGGGAGGCAGCAGUGAGGAAUAUUGGGCAAUGGACGAAAGUCUGACCCAGCCAAGUCGCGUGAGGGAUGAAUGCCCUAGGGGUUGUAAACUUCUUUUAUAUGGGAAUAAAAUGUUCCACGUGUGGGAUUUUGUAUGUACCAUAUGAAUAAGGAACGGCUAACUCCGUUCCAGCAGCCGCGGUAAUACGGAUGAUCCGAGCUUUAUCUGGAUGUAUUGGGUUUAAAGGGAGCGUAGGUGGAUGGUUAAGUCAGUUGUGAAAGUUUGCGGCUCAACCGUAAAAUUGCAGUUGAAACUGGGAGUCUUGAGUACAGAAGAGGGUGGUGGAAUGCGAGGUGGAGCGGUGAAAUGCUGAGAUAUAAUGAAGAACCCCGAUGGCGAAGGCAGCCUG
RNAcentral lists this ribosomal RNA (393 nucleotides) under uncultured bacterium. RNAcentral's name for it is "partial 16S ribosomal RNA". It matches the Rfam family "Bacterial small subunit ribosomal RNA", at positions 338 to 728 of the family's 1533-position model. The record is from RNAcentral.